Non-coding RNA from Arxiozyma heterogenica, 134 nucleotides. Lineage: Eukaryota; Fungi; Ascomycota; Saccharomycetes; Saccharomycetales; Saccharomycetaceae. The record is from the annotation of a RefSeq genome assembly.
GCUCGUGUAGCUCAGUGGUUAGAGCUUCGUGCUUAUAGUGAUUGCCGGUGUCGUCGGAAUUUCUAUACUCAAGUGGAUGAAAGUUCUACCUGUGAGCAACGCGACCGUCGUGGGUUCAAACCCCACCUCGAGCA